This 330-nucleotide transfer-messenger RNA is filed under the name marine eukaryotic metagenome. RNAcentral's name for it is "Alphaproteobacteria transfer-messenger RNA". It matches the Rfam family "Alphaproteobacteria transfer-messenger RNA". Rfam says of the family: Bacterial tmRNA, also known as 10Sa RNA or SsrA, is named for its dual tRNA and mRNA-like properties. Its role is to liberate the mRNA from a stalled ribosome. The record is from RNAcentral.
AUUGUGCCUAUAUCUGAGGCGUUCCCGCAUGGGGACUAUGGCGAUAAACGCGCCCGUAAUAAGCGGAUCGGACCCGGGGGCGGUACCCGGCGGCUCCACCAAACCUCCCACAUUGGCGGGAUAAUGGGGCCGAAAUAGGAUCGACGGACGUCUAAAGGGGUUAGCUUUUGCUCGGUGAGGUACCACCGUUAUCGGUCCAUGCAUGAUAGUUGCCAAUGACAACCGUGCUCCGGUCGCCGUUGCUGCGUAAGCAGUAACUAGACCGAAACUUUAAGCCCUGUCCUCUAGCAAGGCCAGGCGGGGUUCGCAGGUACCUGGCAACAGAAACCU